This is a non-coding RNA of Caenorhabditis elegans, 96 nucleotides long. The record is from Ensembl. NCBI's taxonomy places the organism in Eukaryota, Metazoa, Nematoda, Chromadorea, Rhabditida, Rhabditidae.
GAGGCAGAAUCGAGGCAUGUCAGUGACAGAUCCAACCUGUUCUCUGCGUCUCCUUAUUUUGCAUGAUCCAUCGUUGCCCUCCCACUUUUCACAGUA